Molecule: long non-coding RNA, 1797 nt
Filed under: Macaca fascicularis (crab-eating macaque)
Lineage: Eukaryota; Metazoa; Chordata; Mammalia; Primates; Cercopithecidae
Description: lncRNA (ENSMFAG00000057832.1)
Source: RNAcentral
AAAAUAGGCAGACACUCUUUAUUGUCAGUUCUGUCUACUUGACUGAUUCUCACAGAAAGUUUUGGUUCCUUUUUGCCAAAGGCUUGUAUCUGAAUCGAUUCAAUGCUUGUAACUCAACCAUGAUGUGACUAGUGAAAUUACACACCGAUUUUUGCUAACAAAUUUAUUGUCCUUAAAUCUGAUACGUGAUCUGUUAGACUACUUCUAACCCUCGUAUAAACUCAUUAAACUGCAAUCUUUUUGUUUCAGCACUAAGCACAACACAUUUUAAAGUUUAAUCUACAUUAUUAACAUUUUCCCCAUCACUUUCUUAAGUCUAGAGACAAUCGGCAAAACAAAUCGAUCUCUGAUUCAUAAUGUUGGCUAACUUCCAUGGUGUAAAUACUUCGACCAUGGCCCAUUACAGUCUACCAAUGAGACAUCACUGAGUGUGGGCCGGGAAGACGCAUGCGCAGUAAGCACAUUAUGAUACCUAAUACUGGAAAUGGAAGUGGACAGACUGCAGAGAUAUUUAGGAAGUAGAAUCUUGGCAAUUUGUUAGAUGCCGGGGUGAAGGCAGAGUUUGGGAAACACUGGUUGGUGGUGUCUUCACUAUCACAGGGAGACAGGGAGUUGAAAGCAAGCAGGGAAAGGACACAUUCAGCUUUGGAUGGGUUCCAUUUGAGGUGCUUGUUACGAGGAAUAGCUGAAUAGGAAGCUAGACAAACGGAUUUGGAGUUCAGAGGAGCAAAGAUUAGAGUUGUAAAUUUGGGAUAUAUUGAUUUAAAUGUUGACAGCAGGUUAAAUCAUUCAGGGAAAAAUUGUGGAGAGGAAAGGUCUGAGACCUUGAAAACUCUGUUACUUGGUGGUCACCCAGAGCAGACAAGCACGCCAAGACUGGGGACAGACAGGAAAGUGGAGCACCCUCCCGCCACAGGAAGACGUGUUUUAAGGAGGAAGAAGGAAUUUUUGCUCAGAUCAGGUAACACAAGAAAGGAGAGUGUCCUUUGACUUUAGUGAUGUGGAUGUUACUUGCGACCACUAAAAAGGCAAUUUCACCCUGUGUGAAAACGAACACGUGAAUGGAGUUGAGAGACGACAAAACUGGGGGGAGGCGCCUCUUUCACCAACUUCAGCGGUGCAAGGGGAAGUGGAGUAGAGUCUUGGGAAUGAUGAAAUGCCGAGGAUACGGAUUCCAGCCCAGAGGGAGCAAUGGAUCGGAUUCUUCGAUACUGGAAAAACGGACGGUGGGGGGGCUCGGUGAUGUAGGGAGCAGGUAGUGCAGCUUUGCCGGUGGAAAGUGGAAGAAGUUUCUCUUUUUUCCUGAAGCAGGCGGCAAAGACCUCUGAGAGUGGGAGUGUAGGGGAUGUGCCGGUCACCCGGACGGGAGUGGAGGUUUGGGACCAAGUGGCCCGAGCCUGCGGUGAGUGGGCCCGCCCUGGGUGGCUCUGGCCGCAGCAGGGUCGAUGGGGCAGCACGGUCUCAGCAGGAAGAACACGGCUUCAGUCAGUUCUGUUCUGAGAAGCAGAAGGUGGAGACACGCACAUUUUAAAAAAACUCCUCCCGGACAGGAAGAAGUGAAGUUCUGGCUGUUCUGCGAGGACGCCGCAGUCCCAGCGCGGAGACCACCGCGCGGGCGAAGUGCGACACAGGCCAGAAAUAGGGUCCCGCACGUGGACCGCGGAGGAAGAAAGAGGGCUCACCCGGGCUCCCGCAGCUAGCCUCGCCCGACCAGGCUGGUGCCGCCUCUUCCCGCCCCGGCCCCGCCUCAGCUCCGCGCCCACAACCCGGCUUCCUCCUCUCCCGCCUGGUCGGUCU